Molecule: ribosomal RNA, 404 nt
Filed under: Staphylococcus aureus
Lineage: Bacteria; Bacillati; Bacillota; Bacilli; Caryophanales; Staphylococcaceae
Description: bacterial SSU rRNA
Rfam family: Bacterial small subunit ribosomal RNA
Source: RNAcentral
CUUCUCUGAUGUUAGCGGCGGACGGGUGAGUAACACGUGGAUAACCUACCUAUAAGACUGGGAUAACUUCGGGAAACCGGAGCUAAUACCGGAUAAUAUUUUGAACCGCAUGGUUCAAAAGUGAAAGACGGUCUUGCUGUCACUUAUAGAUGGAUCCGCGCUGCAUUAGCUAGUUGGUAAGGUAACGGCUUACCAAGGCAACGAUGCAUAGCCGACCUGAGAGGGUGAUCGGCCACACUGGAACUGAGACACGGUCCAGACUCCUACGGGAGGCAGCAGUAGGGAAUCUUCCGCAAUGGGCGAAAGCCUGACGGAGCAACGCCGCGUGAGUGAUGAAGGUCUUCGGAUCGUAAAACUCUGUUAUUAGGGAAGAACAUAUGUGUAAGUAACUGUGCACAUCUUGA